GAUUGAACGCUGGCGGCAGGCCUACCACAUGCAAGUCGAGCGGAUGACGGGAGCUUGCUCCUGGAUUCAGCGGCGGACGGGUGAGUAAUGCCUAGGAAUCUGCCUGGUAGUGGGGGAUAACGUCCGGAAACGGGCGCUAAUACCGCAUACGUCCUGCGGGAGAAAGUGGGGGAUCUUCGGACCUCACGCUAUCAGAUGAGCCUAGGUCGGAUUAGCUAGUUGGUGGGGUAAAGGCCUACCAAGGCGACGAUCCGUAACUGGUCUGAGAGGAUGAUCAGUCACACUGGAACUGAGACACGGUCCAGACUCCUACGGGAGGCAGCAGUGGGGAAUAUUGGACAAUGGGCGAAAGCCUGAUCCAGCCAUGCCGCGUGUGUGAAGAAGGUCUUCGGAUUGUAAAGCACUUUAAGUUGGGAGGAAGAGCAGUAAGUUAAUACCUUGCUGUUUUGACGGUACCAACAGAAUAAGCACCGGCUAACUUCGUG
Molecule: ribosomal RNA, 485 nt
Filed under: uncultured bacterium
Lineage: Bacteria
Description: partial 16S ribosomal RNA
Rfam family: Bacterial small subunit ribosomal RNA
Source: RNAcentral